RNAcentral lists this ribosomal RNA (450 nucleotides) under uncultured bacterium. Its description in RNAcentral is "bacterial SSU rRNA". It matches the Rfam family "Bacterial small subunit ribosomal RNA", at positions 329 to 795 of the family's 1533-position model. The record is from RNAcentral.
GCCCAGACUCCUACGGGAGGCAGCAGUGGGGGAUAUUGCACAAUGGAGGGAACUCUGAUGCAGCGACGCCGCGUGAGGGAAGAAGGUUUUCGGAUUGUAAACCUCUGUCUUCGGUGACGAAACGAGACGGUAGCCGAGGAGGAAGCCACGGCUAACUACGUGCCAGCAGCCGCGGUAAUACGUAGGUGGCAAGCGUUGUCCGGAAUUACUGGGCGUAAAGGGCGCGUAGGUGGGCGCUUAAGUCAGGUGUGAAAACUCCGGGCUCAACCUGGAGACUGCACUUGAAACUGGGUGUCUUGAGGGCAGGAGAGGAAAGUGGAAUUCCUAGUGUAGCGGUGAAAUGCGUAGAUAUUAGGAGGAACACCAGUGGCGAAGGCGACUUUCUGGACUGUACCUGACGCUGAGGCGCGAAAGCGUGGGUAGCGAACGGGAUUAGAUACCCCAGUAGUC